RNAcentral lists this ribosomal RNA (484 nucleotides) under uncultured bacterium. Its description in RNAcentral is "partial 16S ribosomal RNA". It matches the Rfam family "Bacterial small subunit ribosomal RNA", at positions 29 to 507 of the family's 1533-position model. The record is from RNAcentral.
AUUGAACGCUGGCGGCAUGCUUUACACAUGCAAGUCGAACGGCAGCGCGGGCUUCGGCCUGGCGGCGAGUGGCGAACGGGUGAGUAAUACAUCGGAACGUGCCCAGUAGCGGGGGAUAGCUCGGCGAAAGCCGGAUUAAUACCGCAUACGACCUGAGGGUGAAAGCGGGGGAUCUUCGGACCUCGCGCUAUUGGAGCGGCCGAUGGCAGAUUAGCUAGUUGGUGGGGUAAAGGCCUACCAAGGCGACGAUCUGUAGCUGGGCUGAGAGGACGACCAGCCACACUGGGACUGAGCCACGGCCCAGACUCCUACGGGAGGCAGCAGUGGGGAAUUUUGGACAAUGGGCGGAAGCCUGAUCCAGCAAUGCCGCGUGUGUGAUGAAGGCCUUCGGGUUGUAAAGCACUUUUGGCGGGAACGAAAAGGACUGUGCCAAUACCACGGUUCGAUGACGGUACCCGCAGAAUAAGCACCGGCUAACUACGUG